CGGGAGUAACACCUGGAAACAGAUGCUAAUACCGGAUAACAACAGAUGAUGCCUAUCAACUGUUUAAAAGAUGGUUCUGCUAUCACUCUUGGAUGGACCUGCGGUGCAUUAGCUAGUUGGUAGGGUAACGGCCUACCAAGGCGAUGAUGCAUAGCCGAGUUGAGAGACUGAUCGGCCACAUUGGGACUGAGACACGGCCCAAACUCCUACGGGAGGCAGCAGCG
RNAcentral lists this ribosomal RNA (224 nucleotides) under uncultured Lactobacillus sp. RNAcentral's name for it is "partial 16S ribosomal RNA". It matches the Rfam family "Bacterial small subunit ribosomal RNA", at positions 138 to 356 of the family's 1533-position model. Lineage: Bacteria; Bacillati; Bacillota; Bacilli; Lactobacillales; Lactobacillaceae. The record is from RNAcentral.